RNAcentral lists this ribosomal RNA (497 nucleotides) under uncultured bacterium. RNAcentral describes it as "partial 16S ribosomal RNA". It matches the Rfam family "Bacterial small subunit ribosomal RNA", at positions 28 to 507 of the family's 1533-position model. The record is from RNAcentral.
GAUGAACGCUGGCGGCGUGCCUAAUACAUGCAAGUCGAGCGAACGGACGAGAAUCUUGCUUCUCUGAUGUUAGCGGCGGACGGGUGAGUAACACGUGGAUAACCUACCUAUAAGACUGGGAUAACUUCGGGAAACCGGAGCUAAUACCGGAUAAUAUUUUGAACCGCAUGGUUCAAAAGUGAAAGACGGUCUUGCUGUCACUUAUAGAUGGAUCCGCGCUGCAUUAGCUAGUUGGUGAGGUAACGGCUUACCAAGGCAACGAUGCAUAGCCGACCUGACAGGGUGAUCAGCCACACUGGAACUGAGACACGGUCCAGACUCCUACGGGAGGCAGCAGUAGGGAAUCUUCCGCAAUGGGCGAAAGCCUGACGGAGCAACGCCGCGUGAGUGAUGAAGGUCUUCGGAUCGUAAAACUCUGUUAUUAGGGAAGAACAUAUGUGUAAGUAACUGUGCACAUCUUGACGGUACCUAAUCAGAAAGCCACGGCUAACUACGUG